UACAGAGGGGGCAAGCGUUGUUCGGAAUUACUGGGCGUAAAGAGCGCGUAGGCGGUCUGUUAAGUGUAGAGUGAAAUCUCUGGGCUCACCCCAGAAACUGCUCUGCAUACUGGCAGACUUGAGGGAUGCAGAGGUUUGUGGAAUUCCUGGUGUAGCGGUGAAAUGCGUUGAUAUCAGGAGGAACACCCAUGGCGAAGGCAGCAAACUGGGCAUCAUCUGACGCUGAGGCGCGAAAGCGUGGGUAGCAAACAGG
This 253-nucleotide ribosomal RNA is filed under the name uncultured bacterium. RNAcentral's name for it is "partial 16S ribosomal RNA". It matches the Rfam family "Bacterial small subunit ribosomal RNA", at positions 524 to 776 of the family's 1533-position model. The record is from RNAcentral.